Molecule: ribosomal RNA, 253 nt
Filed under: uncultured bacterium
Lineage: Bacteria
Description: partial 16S ribosomal RNA
Rfam family: Bacterial small subunit ribosomal RNA
Source: RNAcentral
UACAGAGGGUGCGAGCGUUACUCGGAAUUACUGGGCGUAAAGCGUGCGUAGACGGUUAUUUAAGUCGGGCGUGAAAGCCCCGGGCUCAACCUGGGAAUUGCAUUCGAGACUGAAUAGCUAGGGUGCGGUAGAGGGAAGCGGAAUUUCCGGUGUAGCGGUGAAAUGCGUAGAUAUCGGGAGGAACACCAGUAGCGAAGGCGACACUCUGGGCCGGUACUGACGCUGAGGAGCGAAAGCGUGGGGAGCAAACAGG